This 468-nucleotide ribosomal RNA is filed under the name uncultured bacterium. RNAcentral describes it as "partial 16S ribosomal RNA". It matches the Rfam family "Bacterial small subunit ribosomal RNA", at positions 28 to 507 of the family's 1533-position model. The record is from RNAcentral.
GACGAACGCUGGCGGCGUGCUUAACACAUGCAAGUCGAACGGAAAGGCCCUGCUUUUGUGCGGUGCUCGAGUGGCGAACGGGUGAGUAACACGUGAGUAACCUGCCAUUCACUUUGGGAUAUCUUCAGGCAACUGGGGCUAAUACCGGAUAGGAGCUCCUGCUGCAUGGUGGGGGUUGGAAAGUUUCGGCGGUUGGGGAUGGACUCGCGGCUUAUCAGCUUGUUGGUGGGGUAGUGGCUUACCAAGGCUUUGAACGGUAGCCGGCCUGAGAGGGUGACCGGCCACAUUGGGACUGAGAUACGGCCCAGACUCCUACGGGAGGCAGCAGUGGGGAAUAUUGCACAAUGGGCGGAAGCCUGAUGCAGCAACGCCGCGUGCGGGAUGACGGCCUUCGGGUUGUAAACCGCUUUCGCCUGUGACGAAGCGUGAGUGACGGUAAUGGGUAAAGAAGCACCGGCUAACUACGUG